Gigantopelta aegis is the source of this 1659-nucleotide long non-coding RNA. RefSeq lists it as uncharacterized. The record is from RefSeq and is a predicted model, not a curated record. Lineage: Eukaryota; Metazoa; Mollusca; Gastropoda; Neomphalida; Peltospiridae. The transcript is spliced from 3 exons.
GCAGGUUAAAUGAUGAAGCCAUAGUAAAAUAAUGCAGAUGGGAUAUUGUAAAUAAACAAACAAUAUUGGAGAAUGCAGGUUAAAUGAUGAAGCCAUAGUAAAAUAAUGCAGAUGGGAUAUUGUAAAUAAACAAACAAUAUUGGAGAAUGCAGGUUAAAUGAUGAAGCCAUAGUAAAAUAAUGCAGAUGGGAUAUUGUAAAUAAACAAACAAUAUUGGAGAAUGCAGGUUAAAUGAUGAAGCCAUAGUAAAAUAAUGCAGAUGGGAUAUUGUAAAUAAACAAACAAUAUUGGAGAAUGCAGGUUAAAUGAUGAAGCCAUAGUAAAAUAAUGCAGAUGGGAUAUUGUAAAUAAACAAACAAUAUUGGAGAAUGCAGGUUAAAUGAUGAAGCCAUAGUAAAAUAAUGCAGAUGGGAUAUUGUAAAUAAACAAACAAUAUUGGAGAAUGCAGGUUAAAUGAUGAAGCCAUAGUAAAAUAAUGCAGAUGGGAUAUUGUAAAUAAACACAAUAUUGGAGAAUGUAGGUUAAAUGAUGAAGCCAUAGUAAAAUAAUGCAGAUGGGAUAUUGUAAAUAAACAAACAAUAUUGGAGAAUGCAGGUUAAAUGAUGAAGCCAUAGUAAAAUAAUGCAGAUGGGAUAUUGUAAAUAAACACAAUAUUGGAGAAUGUAGGUUAAAUGAUGAAGCCAUAGUAAAAUAAAUGCUACAUUUUCAUCCAGUUGAUGAAAUUUUAUUUUCUCUUUUUUAUUUACAGAACAUUUGAACUAUCACUCAUUAAGCAUCAUAUAUUGUUUAAGGACAGUGGUUAUUAUUAUUUUAGUUUUGCUAAUAAGAAAAACGGGGGCAGGCUUUUACUCUUGGGGCAGGUGGGAUGAACUAGGAUUUAUUUUAUGGCCUUUGGCUGUUUUUACCUGAAUGCAUUAGAGGUGUUUGGUCGUUCUAGGCUGUUUUCACUUGUCUGUUUACGUGUAAGCGGAAUAGUUCAUCUAUCCAGUUAGCAAUCCAUAGUGGAUGGAAUAAAUACCAUUGCGGUAUGUAGCCUGUAUCACAUAAAACGGCUGUUAAGAGAAAACACUUUUCAGUAACAGCGUCCACAUAUAGCCACAUUCUUAUGUCCAGCCGUGCCACAGGAAAAAUGUUGAAUGUAGAAAUAUUAGAAUAAUUUGUACAAAUGAUAAGAGACAGCCAUGUUUAUUGAUGAUGCCAGUGAUAGCCGUCAUGGGGAUGAUCGGCUGCCAUGACAAUACUGACAUCCUGCUCAGAACAGACAUAACCGGCACAGUAUCUCUCACACUGAGCACUAUGGUUUUAUUCAUAUAUAGAAAGGUUCUCUCUCUGCUAAAAAUAAUGCAGUGAAGCUUUAUGCAAGUAUUUGUAUUUGUACUGCAUUCCACUUUAUUCAUGCUGUGUUCAUCAAAAAGCAGCUUAACUCUCUUUAAUUUCAUUAAGUUUCUGAUGCAGGAACUGAAAUGCAAGAAUCUACAUUGAUAUCAGUUAAUAAACUGACUUUGGUGUGUUGCAUAAACUAAAUUUAACAAUGUAAAAUUAUGUUUAUUUAGGUGUAGUGUAAUUGGUUUCCAUUUUUGAAUUUAAUUUUUGCUUUUAUUUUUAAAUGGGUAUUACAUCACUGGAUUUAUGAUUUACGGAUAAAAUUACUUGUCAAAA